CAAUAGCGUAUAUUAAAGUUGUUGCGGUUAAAAAGUUCGUAGUUGGAUUUCUGCCAAGGACGACCGGUCCGCCCUCUGGGUGAGUAUCUGGCUUGGCCUGGGCAUCUUCUUGGAGAACGUUGCUGCACUUCGCUGUGUGGCGCGGUAUCCAGGACCUUUACUUUGAGGAAAUUAGAGUGUUUCAAGCAGGCUUUCGCCUUGAAUACAUUAGCAUGGAAUAAUAAGAUAGGACCUCGGUUCUAUUUUGUUGGUUUCUAGAGCUGGGGUAAUGAUUAAUAGGGAUAGUUGGGGGCAUUCGUAUUUAACUGUCAGAGGUGAAAUUCUUGGAUUUGUUAAAGACGGACUACUGCGAAANCANNNGCCAAGGAUGUUUUCAUNGA
Molecule: ribosomal RNA, 380 nt
Filed under: uncultured eukaryote
Lineage: Eukaryota
Description: partial 18S ribosomal RNA
Rfam family: Eukaryotic small subunit ribosomal RNA
Source: RNAcentral